This 527-nucleotide ribosomal RNA is filed under the name uncultured bacterium. RNAcentral's name for it is "bacterial SSU rRNA". It matches the Rfam family "Bacterial small subunit ribosomal RNA", at positions 8 to 524 of the family's 1533-position model. The record is from RNAcentral.
AGAGUUUGAUCCUGGCUCAGGAUGAACGCUAGCGAUAGGCUUAACACAUGCAAGUCGAGGGGCAGCAUGGUCUUAGCUUGCUAAGACUGAUGGCGACCGGCGCACGGGUGCGUAACGCGUAUGCAACUUGCCUCACAGAGGGGGAUAACCCGUCGAAAGACGGACUAAUACCGCGUACACUCCAGCUUGGGCAUCCAGGCUAGAGGAAAUGAAAUUCGCUGUGAGAUAGGCAUGCGUCCCAUUAGCUAGUUGGUGAGGUAACGGCUCACCAAGGCGACGAUGGGUAGGGGAACUGAGAGGUUGAACCCCCACACUGGUACUGAGACACGGACCAGACUCCUACGGGAGGCAGCAGUGAGGAAUAUUGGUCAAUGGGCGAGAGCCUGAACCAGCCAAGUCGCGUGAAGGAUGACUGUCUUAUGGAUUGUAAACUUCUUUUGUAGGGGAAUAAAGAAUGGUACGUGUACCAUAGUGAAUGUACCCUACGAAUAAGCAUCGGCUAACUCCGUGCCAGCAGCCGCGGUAAU